RNAcentral lists this long non-coding RNA (333 nucleotides) under Bos taurus (domestic cattle). RNAcentral describes it as "long non-coding RNA NONBTAT008236". The record is from RNAcentral. Lineage: Eukaryota; Metazoa; Chordata; Mammalia; Artiodactyla; Bovidae.
UUUUUGCCAUCAUUUCAUGGAUGGACAGGUGUCACGUGUUUAUUAACCUUUUGAAGUUUGAUAGUUAACCUUUUGAUAGCUUAAACAUUAACCUUUUAAUGUUUAAUUAACCUGAUUAACCUUUUGAUAGUUUUAAACAUUUUUCCCCGUAGAUAUAAUUGGAAAUUAUAUCAGAUGAAAAUUCACUAAAAUACUCCUUCGUAUUCAUACAACUGCAGGUCCAAGUGAGGAUUCAUUGCAUCCGUCAAUAGGUCACAAGGGCUAAGAGCAGUGACAGCUAACAUUUAUGGGGCACUAAGUAAGUGUUAGACCACGUAAUCCUUGAAUAAUCCC